RNAcentral lists this ribosomal RNA (490 nucleotides) under uncultured bacterium. RNAcentral describes it as "partial 16S ribosomal RNA". It matches the Rfam family "Bacterial small subunit ribosomal RNA", at positions 30 to 507 of the family's 1533-position model. The record is from RNAcentral.
AUUGAACGCUGGCGGCAGGCCUAACACAUGCAAGUCGAACGGUAACAGGAAGAAGCUUGCUUCUUUGCUGACGAGUGGCGGACGGGUGAGUAAUGUCUGGGAAACUGCCUGAUGGAGGGGGUUAACUACUGGAAACGGUAGCUAAUACCGCAUAACGUCGCAAGACCAAAGAGGGGGACCUUCGGGCCUCUUGCCAUCGGCUGUGCCCAGAUGGGAUUAGCUAGUAGGUGGGGUAACGGCUCACCUAGGCGACGAUCCCUAGCUGGUCUGAGAGGAUGACCAGCCACACUGGAACUGAGACACGGUCCAGACUCCUACGGGAGGCAGCAGUGGGGAAUAUUGCACAAUGGGCGCAAGCCUGAUGCAGCCAUGCCGCGUGUAUGAAGAAGGCCUUCGGGUUGUAAAGUACUUUCAGCGGGGAGGAAGGGAGUAGAGUUAAUACCUUCGCUCAUUGACGGUACCCGCAGAAGAAGCCCCGGCUAACUCCGUG